This 372-nucleotide ribosomal RNA is filed under the name uncultured organism. RNAcentral's name for it is "bacterial SSU rRNA". It matches the Rfam family "Bacterial small subunit ribosomal RNA", at positions 527 to 896 of the family's 1533-position model. The record is from RNAcentral.
CGGGGGGGCAAGCGUUGUUCGGAAUUACUGGGCGUAAAGGGCUCGUAGGCGGCCAACUAAGUCGGACGUGAAAUCCCCAGGCUCAACCUGGGAACUGCGUCCGAUACUGGAUGGCUUGAAUCCGGGAGAGGGAUGCAGAAUUCCAGGUGUAGCGGUGAAAUGCGUAGAUAUCUGGAGGAAUACCGGUGGCGAAGGCGGCAUCCUGGACCGGCAUUGACGCUGAGGAGCGAAAGCCAGGGGGAGCAAACGGGAUUAGAUACCCCGGUAGUCCUGGCCCUAAACGAUGAAUGCUUGGUGUAACGGGUAUCGAUCCCUGUUGUGCCGAAGCUAACGCAUUAAGCAUUCCGCCUGGGGAGUACGGUCGCAAGGCUA